This 662-nucleotide ribosomal RNA is filed under the name Acinetobacter baumannii. Its description in RNAcentral is "bacterial SSU rRNA". It matches the Rfam family "Bacterial small subunit ribosomal RNA", at positions 63 to 719 of the family's 1533-position model. The record is from RNAcentral. Lineage: Bacteria; Pseudomonadati; Pseudomonadota; Gammaproteobacteria; Moraxellales; Moraxellaceae.
CGAGCGGGGGAAGGUAGCUUGCUACCGGACCUAGCGGCGGACGGGUGAGUAAUGCUUAGGAAUCUGCCUAUUAGUGGGGGACAACAUCUCGAAAGGGAUGCUAAUACCGCAUACGUCCUACGGGAGAAAGCAGGGGAUCUUCGGACCUUGCGCUAAUAGAUGAGCCUAAGUCGGAUUAGCUAGUUGGUGGGGUAAAGGCCUACCAAGGCGACGAUCUGUAGCGGGUCUGAGAGGAUGAUCCGCCACACUGGGACUGAGACACGGCCCAGACUCCUACGGGAGGCAGCAGUGGGGAAUAUUGGACAAUGGGCGCAAGCCUGAUCCAGCCAUGCCGCGUGUGUGAAGAAGGCCUUAUGGUUGUAAAGCACUUUAAGCGAGGAGGAGGCUACUUUAGAUAAUACCUAGAGAUAGUGGACGUUACUCGCAAAAUAAGCACCGGCUAACUCUGUGCCAGCAGCCGCGGUAAUACAGAGGGUGCAAGCGUUAAUCGGAUUUACUGGGCGUAAAGCGCGCGUAGGCGGCUAAUUAAGUCAAAUGUGAAAUCCCCGAGCUUAACUUGGGAAUUGCAUUCGAUACUGGUUAGCUAGAGUGUGGGAGAGGAUGGUAGAAUUCCAGGUGUAGCGGUGAAAUGCGUAGAGAUCUGGAGGAAUACCGAUGGCGAA